AAGACCUUGCGCUUUGGGAGCGGCCGAUGUCUGAUUAGCUAGUUGGUGGGGUAAAGGCCUACCAAGGCGACGAUCAGUAGUUGGUCUGAGAGGACGACCAGCCACACUGGGACUGAGACACGGCCCAGACUCCUACGGGAGGCAGCAGUGGGGAAUUUUGGACAAUGGGCGCAAGCCUGAUCCAGCAAUGCCGCGUGAGUGAAGAAGGCCUUCGGGUUGUAAAGCUCUUUCAGUCGAGAAGAAAAAGCUGCAGUGAAUAACUGUAGUUCAUGACGGUAUCGACAGAAGAAGCACCGGCUAACUACGUGCCAGCAGCCGCGGUAAUACGUAGGGUGCGAGCGUUAAUCGGAAUUACUGGGCGUAAAGCGUGCGCAGGCGGCUCUUCAAGUCAGAUGUGAAAGCCCCGGGCUUAACCUGGGAACU
Molecule: ribosomal RNA, 423 nt
Filed under: uncultured bacterium
Lineage: Bacteria
Description: bacterial SSU rRNA
Rfam family: Bacterial small subunit ribosomal RNA
Source: RNAcentral